Neogale vison (American mink) is the source of this 163-nucleotide small nuclear RNA. Its record names the gene U1. It matches the Rfam family "U1 spliceosomal RNA". Rfam says of the family: U1 is a small nuclear RNA (snRNA) component of the spliceosome (involved in pre-mRNA splicing). The record is from Ensembl. NCBI's taxonomy places the organism in Eukaryota, Metazoa, Chordata, Mammalia, Carnivora, Mustelidae.
AUACUUACCCAGCAGGGGAGACACCAUGAUCAAGCAGGUCGUUUUCCCAGGAUGAGGCUUGUCAAUUGCACUAGGGUCAUGUGACCCCUGCGAUUUCCCCAAAUGUGGGAAACUCUACUCCAUAAUUUAUGGUAGUGGGGGACUGUAUUUGGCCUUUCCCCAG